GUCGAGAAUAAUUCACAAUGGACGAAAGUCUGAUGGUGCAACGCCGCGUGGAGGAUGACGGUCUUCGGAUUGUAAACUCCUGUCAUCCGGGAGUAAGACCUGGCUGUGAAUAGCAGACAGGGUUGAUAGUACCGGAAGAGGAAGGGACGGCUAACUUCGUGCCAGCAGCCGCGGUAAUACGAAGGUCCCGAGCGUUGUUCGGAAUCACUGGACGUAAAGGGAGCGUAGGCGGCGUGGUAAGUCAGAUGUGAAAUCCCGGGGCUCAACCCCGGAACUGCAUCCGAUACUGCCGUGCUAGAGGAUUGGAGAGGUAGCUGGAAUUCUUGGUGUAGCAGUGAAAUGCGUGGAGAUCAAGAGGAACACUCGUGGCGAAAGCGAGCUACUGGACAAUAUCUGACGCUGAGGCUCGAAGGCCAGGGUAGCGAAAGGGAUUAGAAACCCCGGUAGUCC
RNAcentral lists this ribosomal RNA (450 nucleotides) under uncultured bacterium. RNAcentral describes it as "partial 16S ribosomal RNA". It matches the Rfam family "Bacterial small subunit ribosomal RNA", at positions 354 to 796 of the family's 1533-position model. The record is from RNAcentral.